GCGUGGGGCCGCGCGCAGCAGCGGCGACGACUUUAUCUGGGCCGCGGGGGACAGCGCAGGGCCAUGGAGGAGGCGGCCGCAGCUCCGAUUUCUCCGUGGACGAUGGCAGCCACGAUUCAGGCCAUGGAGAGGAAGAUUGAAUCGCAGGCUGCUCACCUGCUUUCCCUAGAAGGUCAAACCGGGAUGGCCGAGAAGAAGCUGGCUGAUUGCGAGAAGACAGCCGUGGAGUUCGGGAACCAGCUGGAGGGCAAGUGGGCCGUGCUGGGGACCCUGCUGCAGGAGUACGGGCUGCUGCAGAGGCGGCUGGAGAACGUGGAGAACCUGCUGCACAACAGGAACUUCUGGAUCCUGCGGCUGCCCCCGGGCAGCAAGGGGGAGUCCCCUAAGGUGCCUAUGACAUUUGAUGAUGUGGCUGUGUAGUUCUCUGAGCAAGUGUGGGGCAAGCUGGAGGACUGGCAGAAGGAGCUCUGCAAGCACGUGAUGAGGGGCAACUGCGAGAUGCUGGUCUCUUUGGACUACGCCAUCUCCAAGUCCGAGGUCCUCUCCCAGAUUGAACAAGGGAAGGAGCCCUGCAACUGGCGCCGCCCUGACCCCAAGAUUCCAGAUGUUCCUGUGGACCCCAGUCCAGAUGCAGAAACUGAGGCCCAGCAGAGAUUGAGUAACUUAUGCGAGUUGUCACUCACCUCACACGCCCCAGCAAGCAUCCAGGAGAGCCUGCCUCUUGGAAUAGAAAUCAGACAUCCCACAGGAACUCUGAGGUUUUCCCACUGCUGCCAGAUGUAUGCAAGGAACACGUGAUCUUCGUAAUUCCAGAGCGGGGCAAACUGCUUGGCACCUCUUCAAUAGGUGACAUUCAAUGAAUCUCUGGCUUCCUGCUCUGUUUGUUCUGGUUGCCCUGGAAAGCCUGCUGCUCAGCCCAUGCCCCGGGACUUCCUCCACCCUCACCAGGACAUUCUUUCCAUCUCUUGUCUCCUGUGUGCAAGUCCCUUUCUCCUGGAUUCCAUGUCUUGAAUGUUUCUUAAUUUACUUCCUCAUUUUGGCAGAGGAUGUCCUCCAGUUGUUUUCUGGGAAUGCUAAUAUGCAAGUGAACCAGUGACCUGCAGUUCUGCCCACACAGGGUUAAUAACCAAUCAGAUUCUCUCUUUUCAAGAUGGUUAACAUAACAGACACCAAGAAAGGGAAGAGGAGCCGACAGCAGAGGGGGAAGCUGAAAAGACGCACAAAGAAUGGCCAUAAAAGAUAUGAGCAACCCCAGCUUUCCAGACAGUCACUUUUCCCAGUGGUCAUACCUGGUCUGGAAGAUUCCCCAUCAUCUCGAAUAAAGCUGUUGUUGCUUUUAACUCCAUGGAGAGACCGAAUGGAGUGAGCCCAGCAGGGCAUGCUGGGCAAGAGAGGUCCCCCGAGUCCCAAAUAAGAAUUUCAACUAGUAUAAAACGAGGCAGCGAACCCACACGUGGAAGUCUGAUACCGCUUGCAGAAGGGAAUUGAAUAGAUGUCUCCCUAUUGGUAAGGAUGUGGUUUUAUUGACUUGAAAUAACAAAGCCCGCAAGCAACAACUGAUCAUCCGCGGGAUGCUGCCACAAGGAAUAAUUGAGCACUCAUUCAGACACAGGGGA
This is a long non-coding RNA of Homo sapiens (human), 1616 nucleotides long. Ensembl annotates it as zinc finger family member 767, pseudogene. Its record names the gene ZNF767P. The record is from Ensembl. NCBI's taxonomy places the organism in Eukaryota, Metazoa, Chordata, Mammalia, Primates, Hominidae.